Molecule: long non-coding RNA, 420 nt
Filed under: Sus scrofa (pig)
Lineage: Eukaryota; Metazoa; Chordata; Mammalia; Artiodactyla; Suidae
Description: lncRNA (multiple genes)
Source: RNAcentral
UUUAGAGAAAGUGGGCGGUGCCUUUGCAGAAUUUGAAAUUCCCAUUGGCUCCUGGGAAUUGGUAGACUGCCGCCCACUGUUCACCUGCCCAACGGCUGCCCGCGGACGCUUUCCUAUCACUGCUGUCAUGUGUGGAAGCACAAGCACUGUGGAAGGAAGGCUUUAGAGGAAAACACAGAAUGGUUCAACUGGCGGGAAACUCAAACCGAGUUUUACCUGAGGACUGUUUUUUGCGUAAUGAUCACUUUAUCACAGGACAGCUGGAGACCGCAUGCUGUUUCCAAGGGUUUCUGCCUGGAGGUCAUUUCCCCCUUUAUUCUUAGCUUGGAAUUUUAUGAUGGAAAACUAAAGAAAACAUGAAUGCAGAAAACUGCACUUCUAAGAUGAUCAUGAUGGAAUAAAGAAGGAAGGGUGAGGCCA